Omnitrophica WOR_2 bacterium GWA2_53_43 is the source of this 355-nucleotide non-coding RNA. The record is from Rfam. Lineage: Bacteria; Pseudomonadati; Candidatus Omnitrophota.
UUUUCGGAGAGUUUGAUCCUGGCUCAGAGUGAACGCUGGCGGCGUGGAUUAGGCAUGCAAGUCGAGCGAUCCCCGCAAGGGGAUAGCGGCAAACGGGUUAGUAACACGUGAGGAAUUUGCCUCGAAGUCGAACACAGCUCCGUGAAAACGGAGGUAAUAUUCGAUGGUGUCCUGUCAUCGCAUGGUGACAGGAUUAAAGAUGGGGACCGCAAGGCCUAUCACUUCGGGAUGACCUCGCGUCCUAUCAGCUAGUUGGUGGGGUAAUGGCCUACCAAGGCUUUUGACGGGUAGCUGGUCUGAGAGGACGAUCAGCAACACUGGGACUGAGACACUGCCCAGACUCCUACGGGAGGCU